This 1731-nucleotide long non-coding RNA is filed under the name Macaca mulatta (Rhesus monkey). RNAcentral describes it as "lncRNA (ENSMMUG00000054640.1)". The record is from RNAcentral. Lineage: Eukaryota; Metazoa; Chordata; Mammalia; Primates; Cercopithecidae.
AUGCAAUCCCAAUCAAAAACGGAAGCCUUACCUGAUGGCAGAAAAGGCAGUUGCAGGAGCAGCAGCAGGGACGGCCGCAGCAGGGUGCCAACAGCCCAGCCUUGCGCGGAAGAAGGUUCUCCAGGCCGGGCAGCCAGUAGACACCACUUUCUUCCUGGAAGAGGCUGCCUCUCUUCUCAGAAACGCCUGGACCCCUCUCUGUGGCUCCCUCCACAUUUACCCUUCAGAUCAAUAAUGCUUUCGGAGCGGCUGGAGCUCAACUGCAGCGGCGAGCGGCGAGCCAAUGGGGGCCCAGGAUUCCCUCCUGUCAUCUCCCCGCCCUCAAAACAAAACACAGCGUGCCUUUGACACAUCAUUGAGUUGUGAAAAGUAAUUGAAUCCUAUAUUUGAAAUGUAUCUUGUUUGUUCUUUUUCCCCCCUAGCGUUCAUUGUAGAAUGCUUUGAAUGAAUCCGAGGACUCCUUAGCUCUCAGAAGGCUCAUUAAAGGAGCUAGCGGAGAGUGAAGAUUAGGCGCUGAGAAAGUGAUAGCACCUGGGUUAGCAUCUGAAGCUUUGCUUUUUAAAUGCUUGAGGUCUAUCGCAUAUCAGAGAACUGUCAACUGGGAAGAAAAAGUCGUGGGUUCUAUUAGUCUUUCCGCCACUAAGUCGCUUGAGUCUUUUAUUUUGUAAAUCAAGACAAUUAAUUACGUUUACCUGGAAGCUGUUUCAUUGUUUAAUUGUCUAAACGAGAAUCAGAUGCUUAUUGUGGUAAUAACCAUGUGCAAGCAAUUUCUCCUAAUCCAUUUACUUGUUUCUAGGCUGAUUUAACUUGGUUCAGAUUCUGUGAAGAAGAUUGUUAAGACUAUAUAUAUUAGUCUGGUCUGUUUUAAUUUUGUCGUGUUUAAAUAUUGUAAGAUUUUAAAAUUAAUGUUAACUUCUCUUUAUGAGAGAAUUUAUUAAUAAUUACAUAAAACUUUAUAGAAUAUUAUAAUGGCAAUAAAAUAUUACAAUGAAAAGUAUAAUUGUUGAAAACCUAUUCCUCCAAAAGCCACAAAACAACUUUACAUUCUUUAACCAUGAUUAUAUUCCUUGGUGUUUCACUAUUAAAAUGCUAACUAUUGAAUAAAAAUUUGCUUAUAUUCACCAAGAAUUGUGUAUUUUCUAAGAAUCUCAGUCAUUUUAUUAUUUAGACAUCAAGAAUGCCACAAUAUUUCAGGUAAUCAUUUAAUUUCGUUCUAUAAAAAAUCUCGAGUACAGAGUCUCAAUACAGUUUUAAAAAUAUGUCUAUGUACAGUAGGAUUGGUAGCUCAAAUUGCACAAAUAAUAAUGUCUUUUCAAUGCUAGUGUGGAAAAAGAAUAAAAUUAUUGUGACUGUCUGAAAUCUUUUUGUUUCACUGAAUACAAAUGGGUUGAUGUAGUUGGUGUAGCCAAGCUUUGUGUAUCGUGACAAAUUGAAAUGGCUUGGGGAGACUUUACAAACAAAACAAUUUCGUGACCUGUCUAUCAUGUGAAAGGAGGCAUGGAAAAAUGUAAUAUUUAUACACUGUAUGCUGUGUCGCUAUAACAAGGUGAAUGCUAACUUUAUUGUAACUCAUUUAUGUAGCCAAUAAAAUUUCAUUCAGGGCAGUCUCUGGCUAAGUUUGGUCACCUGGAUUUUGUGAAGAAAAGAAUAUGCUGAUGAAAAAAUGAACCAUAAACAUUGCUUUUCCCUCAAUUGUAUAGUAUAUUUUUCAUUUAUUUAAAUUCCUUUUUU